UAGUUCAGUUGGUAGAGCACUUGCCUAGAAUGCAUGGGGCUUUGGGUUCGAUUCCCAG
Molecule: transfer RNA, 58 nt
Filed under: Neotoma lepida (desert woodrat)
Lineage: Eukaryota; Metazoa; Chordata; Mammalia; Rodentia; Cricetidae
Rfam family: tRNA
About the family: Transfer RNA (tRNA) molecules are approximately 80 nucleotides in length.
Source: Rfam by way of RNAcentral